Aedes albopictus (Asian tiger mosquito) is the source of this 75-nucleotide non-coding RNA. Lineage: Eukaryota; Metazoa; Arthropoda; Insecta; Diptera; Culicidae. The record is from Rfam.
GACUCCGUAGCUUAUAGGAAUAGAAGCGCCCAUCUAGCGAAUUGGGAGUCGUGGGUUCGAGUCUCACCGGAGUAC